CCUACGGGAGGCAGCAGUGAGGAAUAUUGGUCAAUGGGCGGGAGCCUGAACCAGCCAAGCCGCGUGAAGGAAGAAGGCGCCAGGCGUCGUAAACUUCUUUUGUCGGGGAAUAAAGGGCGCCACGUGUGGCGUUGUGAGUGUACCCGAAGAAAAAGCAUCGGCUAACUCCGUGCCAGCAGCCGCGGUAAUACGGAGGAUGCGAGCGUUAUCCGGAUUUAUUGGGUUUAAAGGGUGCGUAGGCGGUCCGGAAAGUCAGCGGUGAAAGUCCGGGGCUCAACCCUCGAGGGGCCGUGGAAACUGGCGGACUAGAGCAGGCUAGAGGUAGGCGGAAGGCGUGGUGUAGCGGUGAAAUGCAUAGAUAGCACGCAGAACCCCGAGUGCGAAGGCAGCCUACCGGGCCCUGACUGACGCUGAGGCACGAAAGCGUGGGGAUCGAACAGGAUUAGAUACCCCGGUAGUC
RNAcentral lists this ribosomal RNA (460 nucleotides) under uncultured bacterium. RNAcentral describes it as "partial 16S ribosomal RNA". It matches the Rfam family "Bacterial small subunit ribosomal RNA", at positions 338 to 795 of the family's 1533-position model. The record is from RNAcentral.